Molecule: transfer RNA, 72 nt
Filed under: Camelus bactrianus (Bactrian camel)
Lineage: Eukaryota; Metazoa; Chordata; Mammalia; Artiodactyla; Camelidae
Also listed under: 2 other names
Rfam family: tRNA
About the family: Transfer RNA (tRNA) molecules are approximately 80 nucleotides in length. Their secondary structure includes four short double-helical elements and three loops (D, anti-codon, and T loops).
Source: Rfam by way of RNAcentral
GAGGAUAUAGCUUAAGUGGUAGAGCACAUGCCUAGCAUGCACAAAUUCCUGGGUUCAAUCCCCAGAACCUCC